Molecule: ribosomal RNA, 253 nt
Filed under: uncultured bacterium
Lineage: Bacteria
Description: partial 16S ribosomal RNA
Rfam family: Bacterial small subunit ribosomal RNA
Source: RNAcentral
UACGAAGGGGGCUAGCGUUGUUCGGAUUUACUGGGCGUAAAGCGCACGUAGGCGGAUUGUUAAGUUAGAGGUGAAAUCCCGGAGCUCAGCUCCGGAACUGCCUCUAAUACUGGCAAUCUCGAGUCCGGAAGAGGUAAGUGGAACUCCUAGUGUAGAGGUGGAAUUCGUAGAUAUUAGGAAGAACACCAGUGGCGAAGGCGGCUUACUGGUCCGGUACUGACGCUGAGGUGCGAAAGCGUGGGGAGCAAACAGG